Molecule: ribosomal RNA, 420 nt
Filed under: uncultured bacterium
Lineage: Bacteria
Description: partial 16S ribosomal RNA
Rfam family: Bacterial small subunit ribosomal RNA
Source: RNAcentral
AUAUUGGACAAUGGGGGCAACCCUGAUCCAGCCAUGCCGCGUGUGUGAAGAAGGUCUUCGGAUUGUAAAGCACUUUAAGUUGGGAGGAAGGGCUUUAGGUUAAUACCCUGAAGUUUUGACGUUACCAACAGAAUAAGCACCGGCUAACUCUGUUCCAGCAGCCGCGGUAAUACAGAGGGUGCAAGCGUUAAUCGGAAAUACUGGGCGUAAAGCGCGGGUAGGGUGGUCAAGAAGGUGGGUGGGAAAACCCCGGGCUUAAACUGGGAAAUGGUUUCAAAAAUGGUGAGCUAGAGGAAGGUAGAGGGUAGGGGAAUUUCCUGGGUAGCGGUGAAAUGGGUAAAUAUAGGAAGGAAAACCAGUGGCGAAGGCGACUACCUGGACUGAUACUGACACUGAGGUGCGAAAGCGUGGGGAGCAAAC